UACGGGGGGGGCAAGCGUUGUUCGGAAUUACUGGGCGUAAAGGGCUCGUAGGCGGCCAACUAAGUCAUACGUGAAAUCCCUCAGCUUAACUGGGGAACUGCGCCUGAUACUGGUUGGCUUGAGUUUGGGAGAGGGACGCGGAAUUCCAGGUGUAGCGGUGAAAUGCGUAGAUAUCUGGAGGAACACCGGUGGCGAAGGCGGCGUCCUGGACCGACAUUGACGCUGAGGCGCGAAAGCCAGGGGAGCAAACGGG
This 253-nucleotide ribosomal RNA is filed under the name uncultured bacterium. RNAcentral's name for it is "partial 16S ribosomal RNA". It matches the Rfam family "Bacterial small subunit ribosomal RNA", at positions 524 to 776 of the family's 1533-position model. The record is from RNAcentral.